GUCUACAGCCAUCCCACGCUGUGUGUACCUGAUCUCAUCUGAUCUCAGAAACUAAGCAGGGUUCAGCUUGGUUAGUAUGUGGAUGGAGGAGACCAAGGAGUCUAUUAGACA
This 111-nucleotide ribosomal RNA is filed under the name Chinchilla lanigera (long-tailed chinchilla). Lineage: Eukaryota; Metazoa; Chordata; Mammalia; Rodentia; Chinchillidae. The record is from RNAcentral.